Molecule: ribosomal RNA, 262 nt
Filed under: uncultured bacterium
Lineage: Bacteria
Description: partial 16S ribosomal RNA
Rfam family: Bacterial small subunit ribosomal RNA
Source: RNAcentral
GCAGCCGCGGUAAUACGGGGGGGGCGAGCGUUGCUGGGAAUGACUGGGCGUAAAGGGCUCGUAGGCGGCCGUCCAAGUCGGACGUGAAAUCCCCCGGCUCAACCUGGGAACUGCGUCCGAUACUGGCUGGCUGGAAUCCGGGAGAGGGAUGCGGAAUUCCAGGUGUAGCGGUGAAAUGCGUAGAUAUCUGGAGGAACACCGGUGGCGAAGGCGGCAUCCUGGACCGGCAUUGACGCUGAGGAGCGAAAGCCAGGGGAGCAAA